Glycine soja is the source of this 697-nucleotide long non-coding RNA. RefSeq lists it as uncharacterized. The record is from RefSeq and is a predicted model, not a curated record. NCBI's taxonomy places the organism in Eukaryota, Viridiplantae, Streptophyta, Magnoliopsida, Fabales, Fabaceae. The transcript has 4 exons.
GGCAGUGUCUUAUUUUAUUGGAUUGAGAGACUACUAAGAAGCACUGACAAGUUGCUUCUUAUGUUAUUGAGCAAUUACUUGCAUUAUGUGCAGGAUAUGAAGGAGUGAAGGAAUUCCAUUUCGAGAAGUUGCUCCAUCAUGGUCAGAAUGUGAAAUCUGGGAGGAGGCAUUCAUCACAAAUAGCUUGAGGCUUUUACAACAUGUGGAUAGUAUUUAGGUUCCAACAGAAUGGCAAUCAGCCCAUUCUAAAACGUGGAAGGAUGUAUCAUGGACAAAAAAGCAAUUUCAGGGUGGACCUGGGAUGAUCACAACUGUUAUCCAGGAAAAGAUCAUGGAGAAAGCAAUUCUGGAAGGGUACCCAACAAGUAACAUAUAUGCAGGUUGAAGAUCCUACUGAGUUGCUAAUAUGCUGGGAUGAAACGGACAAUAGCUUACCGUCUAGUUCUCCCUUUCUUUGGUUGGCUUAUUCAUUGCCAUUAUUUUCUUAGCUCAUCAAAUAGAUGACCGUGUGAUCUCUAGGAAGAUGGUCGUUUUAUUGAAUCUGAAGUCUGAACAAACUUCAUGAAUAAGCCAGAGACCAAAUAGAGAGAAUUGGAACAAAACUAGAGAAAUCAAGUUCUUAUACUGAUGUUUAGCACUAUUUAUUUACUCCUUCAUACACCACUUUUGUGAACAUUAAUAGCCGCUUAUUUCUGUU